This is a long non-coding RNA of Pipistrellus kuhlii (Kuhl's pipistrelle), 592 nucleotides long. RefSeq lists it as uncharacterized. The record is from RefSeq and is a predicted model, not a curated record. NCBI's taxonomy places the organism in Eukaryota, Metazoa, Chordata, Mammalia, Chiroptera, Vespertilionidae. The transcript is spliced from 2 exons.
UGAAGAGGGAACAAACAAGGAUAGAAAAACACAUCAAGAGAUUAUUACAACAAUCCCAAAGAGGAAUAAUGAUGGCCUGAACUAGCACAAAAGAAAGAGAGAAGAUAGAAGUCUCAACAAAACAAGGUGAAUAACUGAGCUUCAAAGGGAUUAAGCAACUUGGCUGUGGUUACACAAUGAUGGAGCUGGAAUUUAAACUCAGAUAUUUCUUAUUCCAAAAGUCGUGAUCCUAUUCAAACUGCUUUCCAAGUGACUGAGUGCUCACAUAAUGAGAAAUGUGGGUUUUGCUAAUAUAAAAUAUGAAUGUGUUCAGGGCCAUCUGUUUCUCCCCAGUCCAAUACCAUUACCAUUUUCCUUGGGGAAUAAUAUAUGCUUUGGGAGUUGGCCCCCGUCACUGCUCCAAUGACAGUAGCUCCUAUUUCAUUCUAUCCAAGCUCUUCCUCCAAAUCUCUUUGUUCUUUCGUACUUGUAAAUUGCCUCAUCAAUACUGUUGCUUAAAAUGGAUUUUUCUUUACACAUAUCCCCAAUCCUAUGCUAAAUUUUAGUAUAAUUUUUGUUACAGAUGAAACUAGAAUCAUUAAUUCUAGAAUUU